RNAcentral lists this long non-coding RNA (219 nucleotides) under Brassica napus (rape). Its description in RNAcentral is "long non-coding RNA (BNAP_LNC016335)". Lineage: Eukaryota; Viridiplantae; Streptophyta; Magnoliopsida; Brassicales; Brassicaceae. The record is from RNAcentral.
UCGCAUCAUCAGUUCGAACAACACUCCCCCUAUCCAUAAUAACCUCAGACUGUGACAGCUCAUCAUACGAAUCCACCUCCAUUGCCACUGGCAUAGGAGAAGCUUCACUCACCUUCUUUGCAAACGGAAACUCCAUCUCAUCAAAUACUACAUCUCUAGAAACAAAGAACUCAUGUCUCUCUAAAUCAUAUAGUUUCCACCCCUUUUUUCCAAACGGAU